This 344-nucleotide long non-coding RNA is filed under the name Lathyrus oleraceus (garden pea). Its description in RNAcentral is "Pisum sativum (pea) long non-coding RNA (PSAT_LNC023308)". Lineage: Eukaryota; Viridiplantae; Streptophyta; Magnoliopsida; Fabales; Fabaceae. The record is from RNAcentral.
UUCCCUUUUUACCGGCAUACCAACUGACUCAACCUCUUUCUUGAAAGGACCACUGUCAGAAGGUUUCUUUGCUACAAAGCCAGAGAGGUCGUUCACUUUGGAGGACGGAGCCUGUUCCUGAACUUUCUCCACCAUCAGCCGCUUCUCGAUUUUUUCCAAUCUCUCGGCCAUGGCUUUCUGCCCCAAGGCAAGCCCUUGCACCAUACUGAACAAGUCUCUCACCAUCUCUUUUAGCUCGAGGAUGUCGGCGUUGGGAAGAUCCAUCAGCUUGGAUUUGUUGACCCCAGCAGGCUAUCUGAGCAAACGAGUUAUGCGUACCGGUUGAAUACUGAACCCUACAAAAC